AUACGUAGGUGGCAAGCGUUAUCCGGAUUUACUGGGCGUAAAGGGCGUGUAGGCGGUCUUGCAAGUCAGAAGUGAAAUUCCUGGGCUCAACUCGGGCGCUGCUUCUGAAACUGCAGGACUUGAGUGCUGGAGGGGAUAGCGGAAUUCCUAGUGGAGCGGUAAAAUGCGCAGAUAUUAGGAAGAACACCGGUGGCGAAGGCGGCUAUCUGGACAGUAACUGACGCUGAGGCGCGAAAGCGUGGGGAGCAAACAGGAUUAGAUUCCCUGGUAGUCCACGCCGUAAACGAUGAAUACUAGGUGUAGGGGGUAUCGACUCCCUCUGUGCCGCAGUUAACACAAUAAGUAUUCCGCCUGGGGAGUACGGCCGCAAGGUUGAAACUCAAAUGAAUUGACGGGG
RNAcentral lists this ribosomal RNA (397 nucleotides) under uncultured bacterium. RNAcentral describes it as "partial 16S ribosomal RNA". It matches the Rfam family "Bacterial small subunit ribosomal RNA", at positions 523 to 918 of the family's 1533-position model. The record is from RNAcentral.